Molecule: long non-coding RNA, 326 nt
Filed under: Zostera marina
Lineage: Eukaryota; Viridiplantae; Streptophyta; Magnoliopsida; Alismatales; Zosteraceae
Description: long non-coding RNA (ZMAR_LNC000255)
Source: RNAcentral
GCCUUGGAAGACUUCUUAAAAUGGAAACGUUGCCAUUUCAUCUUUCUGGAUUCAAGCACAGUAUGGUGGCACUUGUCGCAUUUAUCUUCCUCUGUGUCAGCAUCAUAGGUAUGACAAACUAAUUUUCCCUUUGAGAACCUUAUAUUUUCCGACUUGAAUGCAUUGUUCAGUACAUAAGCAUGAUCAACCUCAUUAUUUGGAUUAUAAAUGUUACUUGACCAGGGUGUUCUAGAUGAAUCUGUAUCAUUAGGAUCAUCCAUGUAUGCCAUUAUUGACAUGGAAGAACUGGCUGUCAAUUCAUAGUCAGAAUAGGUUGCAGUUGGGGC